GACGGAGGGUGCGAGCGUUAUUCGGAAUCAUUGGGCGUAAAGAGCGUGUAGGCGGCCGAUUAAGUCAGGUGUGAAAGCCCGGGGCUCAACCUCGGAAGUGCACUUGAAACUAGUCGGCUUGAGUUCGGGAGAGGGUAGCGGAAUUCCUGGUGUAGAGGUGAAAUUCGUAGAUAUCAGGAGGAACACCGGUGGCGAAGGCGGCUACCUGGACCGAAACUGACGCUGAGACGCGAAAGCGUGGGGAGCAAAC
This 250-nucleotide ribosomal RNA is filed under the name uncultured bacterium. Its description in RNAcentral is "partial 16S ribosomal RNA". It matches the Rfam family "Bacterial small subunit ribosomal RNA", at positions 524 to 773 of the family's 1533-position model. The record is from RNAcentral.